Molecule: ribosomal RNA, 484 nt
Filed under: uncultured bacterium
Lineage: Bacteria
Description: partial 16S ribosomal RNA
Rfam family: Bacterial small subunit ribosomal RNA
Source: RNAcentral
AUUGAACGCUAGCGGGAUGCUUUACACAUGCAAGUCGAACGGCAGCGCGGACUUCGGUCUGGCGGCGAGUGGGGAACGGGCGAGUAAGGAAUCGGAAGGUGACCAGCCGCGGGGGAUAACUACGCGUAGGGGAACCUGAUACAGCAUCCGCCCUACGGGGGAAAGCAAGGGAUCGUAAGAGCUUGAAGGAUUGGAGCGGACGAUUACGUAUUAGCUAGUUGGUGAGGUAACGGCUCACCAAGGCGACGAUCCGUAGCCGGUUUGAGAGGACGACCUGCCACACUGGGACUGAGACACGGCCCAGACCCCUACGGGAGGCAGCAGUGGGGAAUUUUGCGCAAUGGGGGCAACCUUGACGCAGCCAUCCCGCGUGAGCGAUGAAGGCCUUCGGGUUGUAAAACACUUUUGGCAGGAAAGAAACGUCGCGUGCUUAUAUCCCCUGGAACUGACGGUACCUGCAGAGUAAGCACCGGCUAACUACGUG